UUAACGGAGCUUUAACGGAACCUCACUGUAGUCAGUUCCUCAACCUAAACUAUGUGUACAAAGGUAAGAUGACAACAACUAAUUUCUAAUCAUCAUUUACAUGUACUUUGACAUGCUACAAGUUUUACACUUUUUUCACCUUUACAGUUAUAUUUUAGUUUCUCAGUUUUGAUGGCUUGUUAUACUGUCAGCAUCUGAAUCAGCAUUAGUUUUAUUACACAAGGAACGUUCCUUGAAUAGUCCUAUAGCACGGGGACCAACAACAGCCAGCUGCUGUGUUGAGAGAAUCCCAGGAUACCGUUCCACAAAGCUGCCUUUCCUUACCAAGACUUACAUGAAGACUGGCAUCGGUCUGUGGAUCUGGAUCCAGAUGUACAUGUUAUUUUAGCCUUAGUAUAUACCAUCUUAUUGUUAAUGUUAUCUGUGUCACAAGAAGGGAGUCUUUGCUUAGUCAUUGCCAGGGCUGUAAGAAAUAAUGGUGAGAAAUCAGUACGUUUAACAGUGGUGUCCGGUAGGGCUGUGACGAUUCGGUUUGAUCGAAAUCAAAUCAGACACCUUAGUUUCGAUUUUUGAUAAGCAUAAUGCUAGUAUCACUAUUUCGAUUCGAUAUUUGAAUAUCUAUUUAAAUUAUUUCCACACAGAGAGAAUGUAAUUUUGACUCCAACCAAUACAGCGCUUAAAUUAGGUGAAACGUGAUUGGUUGAUGCUGGACUAAUUAUCCAAUGAGAACUGUUGAUGGUAGACAUCACCAAAGUGCUGUUCUGUGGUUAAACAUCAUAUUAUAUUUGUUUGAAAAAGGUUACAUCCUUUACAUUCCUGAUUUCCUUGGAAAAUCUUGGAGAAAGGUUUUCAAUGUGAUACGUUUUGUUUAAUCAUUUCUGAGAGUUAAAUUAAAUCUGAUGUUUUUUGUAUGAAGAAUCAAAUCGAAAAUGAUCAAAUCGAGGGUCCAAUAUCAAAACUCGAAUCGAGGUCUGCGUGAGUCGCUGCAGCCCUAGUGUCCAGUCUCUUGUGGCGACUGACCACAGUGUGACAUAUACAAAUGUAUUCACCAGAGGUGUUUCAGUUGCAACCUUAAGUCAUGAAAUAUACUCCUGUACCUACCAAAGAUUUUGGCUCUUUUAAACCUGUACAUGCAUCCUAUAAUAUACGGAGGCUCUUAACAGAGGAUAUAUGUCACAAUGUUUUAACUCUUGUUCACAAUUAGUCAUCCUCCUUUUGUUUCAAUGGUUUUCCUAGUCUGACAGUUUUCUCCCAGUCAUAUUUUGUUGUUUUAUUUGUGAGAUCUGUUUGACACGAGCAACACCCUGGUUCCAGCUUGCCGCGUAUUUUCAUCAAAGGCUGAAAUGCUAAAUAUUACUUGUAUCGUUUGUAUUUAUAACGUGACAUUAUAUAUUUACAUGACAUUCUCCACAUGCCUUGAUAAGGGACACAAUAGGCUACAGGUACAUCUGCAGAUUACAGGUACAUCAUGCACACAUGUAGACGACGGAGGUGGGCAUGAGGAACAGGUACAUCUGCAGAUUACAGGUACAUCAUGCACACCUGAAGACGACGGAGGUGGGCAUGUAGAUACAGGUACAUCUGCAGAUUACAGGUACAUCAUGCACACAUGUAGACGACGGAGGUGGGCAUGAGGAACAGGUACAUCUGCAGAUUACAGGUACAUCAUGCACACAUGUAGACGACGGAGGUGGGCAUGUAGAUACAGGUACAUCUGCAGAUUACAGGUACAUCAUGCACACAUGUAGACGACGGAGGUGGGCAUGUAGAUACAGGUACAUCUGCAGAUUACAGGUACAUCAUGCACACAUGUAGACGACGGAGGUGGGCAUGUAGAUACAGGUACAUCUGCAGAUUACAGGUACAUCAUGCACACAUGUAGACGACGGAGGUGGGCAUGUAGAUACAGGUACAUCUGCAGAUUACAGGUAUAUCAUGCACACAUGUAGACGACGGAGGUGGGCAUGUAGAUACAGGUACAUCUGCAGAUUACAGGUACAUCAUGCACACAUGUAGACGACGGAGGUGGGCAUGUAGAUACAGGUACAUCUGCAGAUUACAGGUAUAUCAUGCACACAUGUAGACGACGGAGGUGGGCAUGUAGAUACAGGUACAUCUGCAGAUUACAGGUAUAUCAUGCACACUUGUAGACGACGGAGGUGGGCAUGUAGAUACAGGUACAUCUGCAGAUUACAGGUAUAUCAUGCACACAUGUAGAUGACGGAGGUGGGCUUGUAGCUGCAGCUUGGAAUAGGUUAGUGAGAAUCUCGAGACAAGAAUGAGUGUUUGUCUGAGUUAUAUAAUAUAAUGUUUGCAGAUGGUUAGGUUAUUUUAAUGUCACUUCACUGAUUUUGUUUCAUAAAUGAUUCCUGGACAUAUUUCAAUAUUUCUAAUUACACAAAACAAAGCCCUCAAAUGUGAGAUUUUAAGGCUGAAAUGUGAUAUGUAAUAGUGAAAUAAGCACAUUCUGAUAUCUGUAAGAAUUCAGAAGAGUUUAUCUCAUGUACAGAAUAUAAUUUGUAUGUCAGUGUUUAUGAAGGUACAUCUUCAUGACAGUUUGUCAGUUCAAUAAUGUUCAAAACAAAUGACAUACAGUUCAUGUAGCAGUAUUUUAUUUAUGUCAAAUCAAAUCGUUUGAAAUUUUAUGUGCAUAAACUUAAUAUGUUGAAAGUUUUCUUGUUUAUCAAAUUUUACUCCAGCCUAAAAGUUGAUCUAUAAUGAGAGUGAUAGGAGCGAUAUGUAAAUAUUAUUCUUGAAGGUGGUUCCAGUGUUUAUAACAAA
Molecule: long non-coding RNA, 2781 nt
Filed under: Haliotis rubra (blacklip abalone)
Lineage: Eukaryota; Metazoa; Mollusca; Gastropoda; Lepetellida; Haliotidae
Description: uncharacterized LOC124262498, transcript variant X2
Source: RNAcentral